UACGUAGGUGGCAAGCGUUGUCCGGAUUUACUGGGCGUAAAGAGCGCGCAGGCGGUCGUCCAAGUCGCGUGUGAAAGCCCCCGGCUCAACUGGGGAGGGUCACGCGAUACUGGUCGACUCGAAGGCAGGAGAGGGUAGUGGAAUUCCCGGUGUAGCGGUGAAAUGCGUAGAGAUCGGGAAGAACAUCGGUGGCGAAAGCGCUCUACUGGACCGCAACUGACACUCAGGGACGAAAGCUAGGGGAGCGAAUGGG
Molecule: ribosomal RNA, 253 nt
Filed under: uncultured bacterium
Lineage: Bacteria
Description: partial 16S ribosomal RNA
Rfam family: Bacterial small subunit ribosomal RNA
Source: RNAcentral